This 301-nucleotide ribosomal RNA is filed under the name uncultured bacterium. RNAcentral's name for it is "partial 16S ribosomal RNA". It matches the Rfam family "Bacterial small subunit ribosomal RNA", at positions 509 to 809 of the family's 1533-position model. The record is from RNAcentral.
CAGCCGCCGCGGGAAUACGAAGGGGGCUAGCGUUGCUCGGAAUUACUGGGCGUAAAUGGCGCGUAGGCGGAUAGUUUAGUCAGAGGUGAAAGCCCAGGGCUCAACCUUGGAAUUGCCUUUGAUACUGGCUAUCUUGAGUUCGGGAGAGGUGAGUGGAGUGCCGAGUGUAGAGGUGAAAUGCGUAGAGAUCGGAAGGAACAUCUGUGGCGAAGGCGACUAUCUGGGCCAACACUGACACUGAGGCACGAAAGCGUGGGGAGCAAACAGGAUUAGAUACCCGUGUAGUCCCUGUCUCUUAUAA